GAGAAAGUGGAGCAUCCAUGAGUAAAGUGGCGUACGGGUGAGUAACACGUGGGUAAUCUACCUCUUAGUGGGGAAUAACCUGGGGAAACCCGGGCUAAUACCGCAUAAGCUCGAGAGAGGAAAGCAGCAAUGCGCUGAGAGAGGAGCCCGCGGCCGAUUAGCUAGUUGGGGAGGGUAAAAGCCCUACCCAGGGAAAGAUCGGUAGCCGGCCUGAGAGGGCACACGGCCACACUGGCACUGAAACACGGGCCAGACUCCUACGGGAGGCAGCAGUGGGGAAAUCUUGCACAAUGGGGGAAACCCUGAUGCAGCGACGCCGCGUGAGCGAUGAAGCCCUUCGGGGUGUAAAGCUCUUUCGGCAGGGAAGAUGAUGACGGUACCUGCAGAAGCAGCUGCGGCUAACUACGUGCCAGCAGCCGCGGUAAUACGUAGGCAGCGAGCGUUGUUCGGAGUUACUGGGCGUAAAGGGUGUGUAGGCGGUUCUUUAAGUUUGGUGUGAAAUCUCCCGGCUCAACCGGGAGGGUGCGCCGAAUACUGAGGGACUCGAGUGCGGGAGAGGAAAGUGGAAUUCCUGGUGUAGCGGUGAAAUGCGUAGAUAUCAGGAGGAACACCGGUGGGUGUAGACGGCUUUCUGGACCGUAACUGACGCUGAGACACGAAAGCGUGGGUAGCAAACAGGAUUAGAUACCCUGGUAGUCCACGCCCUAAACAUGCAUAUUUGGUGUGGGUCAUUCAGUUGAUCCGUGCCGGAGCUAACGCG
RNAcentral lists this ribosomal RNA (760 nucleotides) under uncultured bacterium. RNAcentral's name for it is "bacterial SSU rRNA". It matches the Rfam family "Bacterial small subunit ribosomal RNA", at positions 68 to 859 of the family's 1533-position model. The record is from RNAcentral.